Amyelois transitella is the source of this 346-nucleotide long non-coding RNA. RefSeq lists it as uncharacterized. The transcript is spliced from 3 exons. Lineage: Eukaryota; Metazoa; Arthropoda; Insecta; Lepidoptera; Pyralidae. The record is from RefSeq and is a predicted model, not a curated record.
GUGUACGUUUGCUAUUACCGAAGUGUGUCAGAUAAAUUUAUCUUUAUCUCCAGCCGAUAUCUGUGCCGGUUGUUCAUUCUGUAUCUGCAGUAAAGUGCUUCCAAUGGCCAUACACGUUAAGUGCUGCGGGCCUCUAUUGGUUAUGGUAGGUGUUGCGGAGGUUGUUGCGCCCCAUCCUGCAGCUGCUGCUGCCCGACCAUAACCAUCUACACAUGCUGCACCAAGAUCUGCUAGUUUCGUGGUUGCCUCGGCCCGGACAUGCCAACAUGCCGUUGCUUGGUGCGGGCUGAGGCGCCCCGUGUCGGCUCUUCGUCGUAAACUAGUGCCGUGUUUGUGUAAAAAUAAA